This 1430-nucleotide ribosomal RNA is filed under the name metagenome. Its description in RNAcentral is "bacterial SSU rRNA". It matches the Rfam family "Bacterial small subunit ribosomal RNA". The record is from RNAcentral.
AGAGUUUGAUCCUGGCUCAGGUCGAACGCUGGCGGCAUGUCUAAGGCAUGCAAGUUGAACGAUCCACCUUUCUUCGGAAAGAAUGGAUAGUGGCAAACGGGAGAGUAACGCAUUGGUAACCUACCUUGUACUCGUGAACAACCCAUGGAAACGUGGGCUAAUACACGAUACUGAUGGGGGGACGCAAGUCAUUCCCAUUGAAAGAUUUUUCGGUACGAGAAGGGCCUAUGUUCUAUCAGCUUGUUGGUGAGGUAAAAGCUCACCAAGGCUACGACGGAUACCGGGCGUGAGAGCGUGACCCGGCUCACUGGGACUGAGACACUGCCCAGACUCCUACGGGAGGCUGCAGUCGAGAAUCUUCCGCAAUGCACGAAAGUGUGACGGAGCGAUGCCGCGUGUCAGAAGAAGGCCUUCGGGUUGUAAAUGACUGUUCUGAGGGAAAAAUUUGUGAUUGUACCUCAGCAGAAAGGGGUUGCUAACUCUGUGCCAGCAGCAGCGGUAAUACAGAGACCCCGAGCGUUGACCGGAUUUAUUGGGCGUAAGCGUGCGUAGGUGGUUUCGUAAGUCAUUUGUUAAAUCUUCAGGCUCAACCUGGAGGCUGCAGGUGAUACUGCGAGACUAGAGGACGGGAGAGGCUAGUGGAAUGUCUGGUGUAGGGGUCAAAUCCGUUAAGAUCAGAUAGAACACCAAAUGCGAAGGCAACUAGCUAGAACGAUCCUGACACUGUUGCACGAAAGCGUGGGUAGCGAAUGGGAUUAGAUACCCCAGUAGUCCACGCCGUAAACGAUGAGUGCUAGGUAUUGAGAGUAUCGACCCUCUCAGUGCCGUUGAACCAAGCUAACGCGUUAAGCACUCCGCCUGGGGAGUACGGCCGCAAGGCUAAAACUCAAAGGAAUAGACGGGGACCUGCACAAGCGGUGGAACAUGCGGUUUAAUUCGAUAGUACGCGAGAAACCUCACCUGGGCUCAACUACUGGCUGCAAGCUCUAGAGAUAGAGUCGCCUUCGAGGGUGCCAGAUAGGUGCUGCAUGGUCGUCGUCAGCUCGUGCCGUGAGGUGUACCCUUAAGGGGGGUAACGAGCGCAACCCCUGUCCUGCGUUAUACUUUCGCAGGAGACUGCCCUCGCAAGGGGGAGGAAGGAGGGGAUGACGUCAGAUCAGCAUGGCCCUUACGUCCAGGGCAACACGCAUGUUACAAUGGUCGGUACAACGGGAAGCCAAACCGCGAGGUGGAGCAAAUCCCUUAAAACCGAUCUCAGUUCGGAUUGGAGUCUGAAAUUCGACUCCAUGAAGUUGGAAUCGCUAGUAAAGGCGGAUCAGCACGCCGCCUUGAAUACGUUCUCAGGUCUUGUACUCACCGCCCGUCACGUCAAGAGAGUUGGGGGUGCCCGAACGUCGUUGUAGAACGGCGGAAGGCAAAUCCAGCGAUAG